RNAcentral lists this ribosomal RNA (253 nucleotides) under uncultured bacterium. Its description in RNAcentral is "partial 16S ribosomal RNA". It matches the Rfam family "Bacterial small subunit ribosomal RNA", at positions 524 to 776 of the family's 1533-position model. The record is from RNAcentral.
UACGGAGGGUGCAAGCGUUAUCCGGAUUUACUGGGUUUAAAGGGUGCGUAGGUGGCUUUGUAAGUCAGUGGUGAAAUCUCCGAGCUUAACUCGGAAACUGCCAUUGAUACUAUAAGUCUUGAAUUAUCUGGAGGUAAGCGGAAUAUGUCGUGUAGCGGUGAAAUGCUUAGAUAUGACAUAGAACACCAAUGGCGAAGGCAGCUUACUAGGGAUCGAUUGACGCUGAGGCACGAAAGCGUGGGGAGCAAACAGG